Sesamum indicum (sesame) is the source of this 265-nucleotide non-coding RNA. The record is from RefSeq and is a predicted model, not a curated record. NCBI's taxonomy places the organism in Eukaryota, Viridiplantae, Streptophyta, Magnoliopsida, Lamiales, Pedaliaceae.
GCCACCUCCGCCGUUUUCUGCGACCGCCGCCAUCUGGCCUCGGUCAAUUAUUUGUUAAGGUAGAGACAGGAGUUGAACCUUCCCACGUAGAAGGUGCAGAUGCUGGUCCAUGUGGGCUUACACAACUGAGAAAAUCUGAUGGUCCUUCAACCAGACACCGGGACAUCAGUAUGGAUACUUUUGGGGAUUGUUAAGAGUUACAAGCUAAAGAGAAGCCGAACUAAAAACAAUGAGUCAGAUAGCCUUUCUGAUAUUGAUGAUGCUG